This 502-nucleotide ribosomal RNA is filed under the name uncultured Nocardia sp. RNAcentral's name for it is "bacterial SSU rRNA". Lineage: Bacteria; Bacillati; Actinomycetota; Actinomycetes; Mycobacteriales; Nocardiaceae. The record is from RNAcentral.
GGGUGAGUAACACGUGGGUGAUCUGCCUCGCACUUCGGGAUAAGCCUGGGAAACUGGGUCUAAUACCGGAUAUGACUUCUGGUCGCAUGGCUGGGGGUGGAAAGAUUUAUCGGUGCGAGAUGGGCCCGCGGCCUAUCAGCUUGUUGGUGGGGUAAUGGCCUACCAAGGCGACGACGGGUAGCCGGCCUGAGAGGGCGACCGGCCACACUGGGACUGAGACACGGCCCAGACUCCUACGGGAGGCAGCAGUGGGGAAUAUUGCACAAUGGGCGAAAGCCUGAUGCAGCGACGCCGCGUGAGGGAUGACGGCCUUCGGGUUGUAAACCUCUUUCGACAGGGACGAAGCGCAAGUGACGGUACCUGUAGAAGAAGCACCGGCCAACUACGUGCCAGCAGCCGCGGUAAUACGUAGGGUGCGAGCGUUGUCCGGAAUUACUGGGSGUAAAGAGCUUGUAGGCGGUUUGUCGCGUCGUCUGUGAAAACUCACAGCUCAACUGUGAGC